Molecule: non-coding RNA, 504 nt
Organism: Rattus norvegicus (Norway rat)
Lineage: Eukaryota; Metazoa; Chordata; Mammalia; Rodentia; Muridae
Source: RefSeq, a predicted model, not a curated record
CAAACAGCUGCACAGACCCUGUCCUGUAUGCCAUUGCCCGAAAAUAAGGCAUUCUCAGGAUGCACGACAGCCAUAGUUAAGUUAUUUUUUUUAAAAAAAAAAUAGCUCAUCUUUCAAUUUUAUCUUGGAGAAGUCUUUCACCUCCAAUAGCAAGCAAUGUUCCCACUCGGCCAUCCACAGUUGCUAUCUGACUCUGUCUCGGGCUGUGUGGCUGCCUCUGUGGUUCUGUUUUUCUCUACGACAGUAUUAGCUACUGGCAAUGGGGACCUGGGGGAGACUGCAGCUUCUAACCAACAGGGAUACAUAGCCCUGGAUGCCUUGGACCUCACCUUGUAGACCAUGCUAUCCUCAAAUUUAGAUCUACUCACCUCUGCCUUCACAGCACCAGGAUUAAAGGCAUGUACCACCGUGCCCACCCCUCUACUUUUUCAUUUCUGUGUACAUGAAAACGUGCCACAGUAAUAGCAAUAAAAAGCAGCAAUGAGGCAGCCAUGUUAUAAAUGU